This 273-nucleotide long non-coding RNA is filed under the name Lathyrus oleraceus (garden pea). Its description in RNAcentral is "Pisum sativum (pea) long non-coding RNA (PSAT_LNC005688)". Lineage: Eukaryota; Viridiplantae; Streptophyta; Magnoliopsida; Fabales; Fabaceae. The record is from RNAcentral.
AAAACUAAAAGUUAAGAGUUGAAAAGAUCUGACCAAUGAGAUACAAUCCAAUAGACAAGAAUGUCAUAUAGAAACCCACUUUUCCUUUGGACUUUAAAUCAAGCAAUAUCAAUAAGCAAGUAGCAAAGUGAAGAGCAAGGCAUCAAAUAAAGAUAGCCACAUCCAAGCUAGCAAAUUCAUAGUGUUCUUCUUAUUCUUACCAUGUAUCAGAUGACAUACUCCUUGAAUGGCUCAGAAUAAGGCAUUAGACACAGAUUUAAAAUAACAUUUGCA